AUUCUCAGGGCGGGGUGAAAGUCCCCACCGGCGGUAAUCGCAGCAGCGUAGCCCGCGGGCGCUUCUACUGAAUUAUGCAAGGUAGAGGGACAGCAGACCCGGUUAGAUUCCGGGGCCGACAGUUAAAGUCUGGUUAUGAGAAUG
This 144-nucleotide non-coding RNA is filed under the name marine eukaryotic metagenome. Its description in RNAcentral is "FMN riboswitch (RFN element)". It matches the Rfam family "FMN riboswitch aptamer (RFN element)", at positions 9 to 130 of the family's 138-position model. Rfam says of the family: The RFN element is a highly conserved domain that is found frequently in the 5'-untranslated regions of prokaryotic mRNAs that encode for flavin mononucleotide (FMN) biosynthesis and transport proteins. This element is a metabolite-dependent riboswitch that directly binds FMN in the absence of proteins. The record is from RNAcentral.